Molecule: ribosomal RNA, 725 nt
Filed under: uncultured organism
Description: bacterial SSU rRNA
Rfam family: Bacterial small subunit ribosomal RNA
Source: RNAcentral
GAUACUGACGCUGAGGUGCGAAAAUGUGGGGAGCAAACAGGAUUAGAUACCCUGGUAGUCCACACCGUAAACGAUGGAAGCUAGCCGUUGGACAGGUUACUGUUCAGUGGCGCAGUUAACGCAUUAAGCUUCCCCGCCUGGGGAGUACGUUCGCAAGAUUUAAACUCAAAGGAAUUGACGGGGGCCCGCACAAGCGGUGGAGCAUGUGGUUUAAUUCGAAGCAACGCGCAGAACCUUACCAGCCCUUGACAUCCCGAUCGUGGUUUCCAGAGAUGGAUUCCUUCAGUUAGGCUGGAUCGGUGACAGGUGCUGCAUGGCUGUCGUCAGCUCGUGUCGUGAGAUGCUGGGUUAAGUCCCGCAACGAGCGCAACCCUCGCCCUUAGUUGCCAGCAUUUAGUUGGGCACUCUAAGGGGACUGCCGGUGAUAAGCCGAGAGGAAGGUGGGGAUGACGUCAAGUCCUCAUGGCCCUUACGGGCUGGGCUACACACGUGCUACAAUGGUGGUGACAGUGGGCAGCGAGACCGCGAGGUCGAGCUAAUCUCCAAAAGCCAUCUCAGUUCGGAUUGGGGUCUGCAACUCGACCCCAUGAAGUUGGAAUCGCUAGUAAUCGUGGAUCAGCAUGCCACGGUGAAUACGUUCCCGGGCCUUGUACACACCGCCCGUCACACCAUGGGAGUUGGUUUUACCCGAAGGCGAUACGCUAACCGCAAGGAGGCAGUCGACC